Molecule: ribosomal RNA, 521 nt
Filed under: uncultured bacterium
Lineage: Bacteria
Description: bacterial SSU rRNA
Rfam family: Bacterial small subunit ribosomal RNA
Source: RNAcentral
AGUUUGAUCCUGGCUCAGAUUGAACGCUGGCGGCAUGCCUUACACAUGCAAGUCGAACGGCAGCACGGGAGCAAUCCUGGUGGCGAGUGGCGAACGGGUGAGUAACAUAUCGGAACGUGCCCAGUCGUGGGGGAUAACGCAGCGAAAGCUGUGCUAAUACCGCAUACGAUCUCUGGAUGAAAGCGGGGGACUCAGCAAUGGGCCUCGCGCGAUUGGAGCGGCCGAUACCAGAUUAGCUAGUUGGUGGGGUAAAAGCUCACCAAGGCGACGAUCUGUAGCUGGUCUGAGAGGACGACCAGCCACACUGGAACUGAGACACGGUCCAGACUCCUACGGGAGGCAGCAGUGGGGAAUUUUGGACAAUGGGCGCAAGCCUGAUCCAGCAAUGCCGCGUGCAGGAUGAAGGCCUUCGGGUUGUAAACUGCUUUUGUACGGAACGAAAAGGUCCUUUCCAAUAAAGGGGCUAAUGACGGUACCGUAAGAAUAAGCACCGGCUAACUACGUGCCAGCAGCCGCGGUAA